AGUGAACGCUGGCGGUAGGCCUAACACAUGCAAGUCGAACGGCAGCACAGAGGAGCUUGCUCCUUGGGUGUCGAGAGGCGGACGGGUGAGGAAUACAUCGGAAUCUACUCUGUCGUGGGGGAUAACGUAGGGAAACUUACGCUAAUACCGCAUACGACCUACGGGUGAAAGCAGGGGACCUUCGGGCCUUGCGCGAUUGAAUGAGCCGAUGUCGGAUUAGCUAGUUGGCGGGGUAAAGGCCCACCAAGGCGACGAUCCGUAGCUGGUCUGAGAGGAUGAUCAGACACACUGGAACUGGGACACGGUCCAGACUCCUACGGGAGGCAGCAGUGGGGAAUCUUGGACAAGGGGCGCAAGCCUGAUCCAGCCAUGCCGCGUGGGUGAAGAAGGCCAUCGGGUUGUAAAGCCCUUUUGUUGGGAAAGAAAUCCAGCUGGCUAAUACCCGGUUGGGAUGACGGUACCCAAAGAAUAAGCACCGGCUAACUUCGUGCCAGCCGCCGCCGUAA
This 506-nucleotide ribosomal RNA is filed under the name uncultured bacterium. Its description in RNAcentral is "partial 16S ribosomal RNA". It matches the Rfam family "Bacterial small subunit ribosomal RNA", at positions 29 to 523 of the family's 1533-position model. The record is from RNAcentral.